Molecule: ribosomal RNA, 492 nt
Filed under: uncultured bacterium
Lineage: Bacteria
Description: partial 16S ribosomal RNA
Rfam family: Bacterial small subunit ribosomal RNA
Source: RNAcentral
AAUGAACGCUGGCGGCAUGCCUAACACAUGCCAGUCGAACGGCAGCACAGGAAGCGCUCUCUCUUACGGUUGGCGACUGGCGGGUGGGUAACGCGUACAUAACCUUCUUCUUUUUCUGGGGUGAUAACGUAAGAACACAUACGCUACUACAUCAUACGUUGAACGGGUGAAAGCAGUAGAUCUUCGGACCUUGCGCGUCUCAAUGAGCCGAUGUCGGAUUAGCUAGUUGGCGGGGUAAAGGCCCACCAAGGCGACGAUCCGUAGCUGGUCUGAGAGGAUGAUCGGCCACACUGGAACUGAGACACGGUCCAGACUCCUACGGGAGGCAGCAGUAGGGAAUCUUGGACAAUGGGCGCAAGCCUGAUGCAGCAAUGCCGCGUGAGUGAAGAAGGUCUUCGGGUCGUAAAGCCCUGUUGUUAGGAAAGAACAAAUGCGUGUGAAUCCAUGGCUGUUUUGACGGUACCUAAAGAAUAAGCACCGGCUAACUACGUG